UCCGUGCCAGCAGCCGCGGUAAUACGGAGGGUGCAAGCGUUAAUCGGAAUUACUGGGCGUAAAGCGCACGCAGGCGGUUUGUUAAGUCAGAUGUGAAAUCCCCGGGCUCAACCUGGGAACUGCAUCUGAUACUGGCAAGCUUGAGUCUCGUAGAGGGGGGUAGAAUUCCAGGUGUAGCGGUGAAAUGCGUAGAGAUCUGGAGGAAUACCGGUGGCGAAGGCGGCCCCCUGGACGAAGACUGACGCUCAGGUGCGAAAGCGUGGGGAGCAAACAGGAUUAGAAACCCCAGUAGUCCAAAGG
This 300-nucleotide ribosomal RNA is filed under the name uncultured Escherichia sp. RNAcentral describes it as "bacterial SSU rRNA". It matches the Rfam family "Bacterial small subunit ribosomal RNA", at positions 502 to 799 of the family's 1533-position model. Lineage: Bacteria; Pseudomonadati; Pseudomonadota; Gammaproteobacteria; Enterobacterales; Enterobacteriaceae. The record is from RNAcentral.